RNAcentral lists this transfer-messenger RNA (383 nucleotides) under Dichotomicrobium thermohalophilum. RNAcentral's name for it is "Alphaproteobacteria transfer-messenger RNA". It matches the Rfam family "Alphaproteobacteria transfer-messenger RNA". Rfam says of the family: Bacterial tmRNA, also known as 10Sa RNA or SsrA, is named for its dual tRNA and mRNA-like properties. Its role is to liberate the mRNA from a stalled ribosome. To accomplish this part of the tmRNA is used as a reading frame that ends in a translation stop signal. Lineage: Bacteria; Pseudomonadati; Pseudomonadota; Alphaproteobacteria; Hyphomicrobiales; Hyphomicrobiaceae. The record is from Rfam by way of RNAcentral.
GUCCUUUUAUUUGGCCUCAAAUCUAUCUAUAUUACGUGUGUCAGCUUGGCUGACUAUGGCGAUAAACGGCCGUCGGAAUAAGCCCAUCGGACCCGGGGGCAGUACCCGGCGCCUCCACCAUAAACCCGCUCUCCACAGGCGCGCUGCACGGGCGGACGCGGGUUUUUGAUGGGGGCGAACUAGGAUCGACGAGGGUGUAAAGGACGGACCUUCGCCCGGCAUGGUACCGCCGUUACAGGACCACAAACAGUAGUUGCGAACGACAACUAUGCUCCGGUUGCUCAGGCUGCGUAAGGCAGCUUAGGCACCGAAAUUCAAAGUCCUGGGCACUAAGCACGCCCAGGCGCGGUACGGAGGGCACCGGGCAACAGAAGCCCUCCAUC